CAAAAACAUGUCUUUUUGACAAUUAUUUAAAGUCUGGCCUGCCCAAUGAUUAUUUAAAUGGCCGCAGUAUUUUGACUGUGCAAAGGUAGCAUAAUCAUUAGUUUUUUAAUUGAAAACUGGUAUGAAAGGUUUGAUGAAAAAUUAGCUGUCUCUUUAUUAAUAAAUUAUAAUUUUAAUUUUAAGUAAAAAAGCUUAAAUUUUUUAGAAAGACGAGAAGACCCUAUAGAGUUUAAUUUUUGUUUAUAUUUUAUUUAUUGGAUUUUUCUAAUUUUAAACAAGAAUUUUGUUGGGGUGAUGUAAAAAUUUAAUUAACUUUUUAUAAUUUUAACACUAGUUUGUGAUUAAUUGAUCCCUUUAUUAGGAUUAUAAGAUUAAAUUACCUUAGGGAUAACAGCGUAAUUUUUUUUGAAAGUUCUUAUUGAUAAAAAAGUUUGCGACCUCGAUGUUGGAUUAAAAUUUAUAUUUGGUGUAGAAGCUGAAAUAUUAGGUCUGUUCGACCUUUAAAAUUUUACAUGAUCU
Molecule: ribosomal RNA, 519 nt
Filed under: Parahyocis championi
Lineage: Eukaryota; Metazoa; Arthropoda; Insecta; Coleoptera; Tenebrionidae
Description: partial 16S ribosomal RNA
Rfam family: Archaeal large subunit ribosomal RNA
Source: RNAcentral